Molecule: ribosomal RNA, 258 nt
Filed under: Enterococcus plantarum
Lineage: Bacteria; Bacillati; Bacillota; Bacilli; Lactobacillales; Enterococcaceae
Description: partial 16S ribosomal RNA
Rfam family: Bacterial small subunit ribosomal RNA
Source: RNAcentral
UUAUUAUGAGAGUUUGAUCCUGGCUCAGGACGAACGCUGGCGGCGUGCCUAAUACAUGCAAGUCGAACGCUUCUUUUCUGCCGAGUGCUUGCACUCAUUUGAAAAGAGGAGUGGCGGACGGGUGAGUAACACGUGGGUAACCUACCCAUCAGAGGGGGAUAACACUUGGAAACAGGUGCUAAUACCGCAUAAUAAUCGACACCGCAUGGCGUUGAUUUGAAAGACGCUUUCGGGUGUCACUGAUGGAUGGACCCGCGG